CCUACGGGAGGCAGCAGUGGGGAAUAUUGCACAAUGGGGGAACCCCUGAUGCAGCGACGCCGCGUGAGUGAAGACGUAUUUCGGUAUGUAAAGCUCUAUCAGCAGGGAAGAAAAUGACGGUACCUGUUUACGAAGCGCCGGCUAACUACGUGCCAGCAGCCGCGGUCAUACGUAGGGGGCAAGCGUUAUCCGGAUUUACUGGGUGGAAAGGGAGCGUAGACGGGAGCACAAGGCUCGAGGGAAAUGCCGGGGCUUAACCCCGGAACUGCUUUGGAAACUGGGCAGCUAGAGUGCAGGAGAGGUAAGGGGAAUGCCUGGUGUAGCGGUGAAAUGCGUAGAUAUCAGGAGGAACACCAGUGGCGAAGGCGGCUUACGGGACUGUAACUGACGUUGAGGCUCGAAAGCGUGGGGAGCAAACAGGAUUAGAUACCCGAGUAGUC
This 440-nucleotide ribosomal RNA is filed under the name uncultured bacterium. RNAcentral describes it as "partial 16S ribosomal RNA". It matches the Rfam family "Bacterial small subunit ribosomal RNA", at positions 338 to 795 of the family's 1533-position model. The record is from RNAcentral.